Molecule: long non-coding RNA, 7302 nt
Filed under: Lactuca sativa (garden lettuce)
Lineage: Eukaryota; Viridiplantae; Streptophyta; Magnoliopsida; Asterales; Asteraceae
Description: long non-coding RNA (LSAT_LNC010010)
Source: RNAcentral
UACCAUACAACAGCUCAAAAGGUGGCAUACCAAUGCUCGAAUGAUGGCUGUUGUUGUAGGAAAACUCUGCCAAGGGUAAAUACGCAUCCCAACUACCCCCGAAGUCUAACACACACGCUCGGAGCAUGUCCUCCAGCGUCUGAAUCGUCCGCUCGCUCUGACCGUCUGUCUGGGGAUGGUAUGCGGUACUAAAAUGCAAUUUAGUACCCAGCUCCUCAUGGAAUUUCUUCCAGAACCUGGAAGUGAAGCGCACAUCACGGUCUGAAACAAUCGAGAUCGGCACCCCAUGCCGAGAUACCACUUCUCUCACAUAUAUCUCCGCCAACUUCUCCGCUGAAGAACUCUCGCUGAUGGCAAGGAAGUGUGCACUCUUCGUCAACCUAUCCACAAUCACCCAAAUUGCAUCAACUCCCCUGGCAGUCCUCGGCAAUUUGGUGAUGAAAUCCAUAGUGAUCUGUUCCCACUUCCACUCGGGAAUCUCCAAUGGCUGUAACUUGCCAUGCGGUCUCUGGUGCUCGGCCUUAACCCUACGGCAGGUCAAGCACCUCUCAACGAACCAUGCAACGUCCCUCUUCAUACAGGGCCACCAAUACUCUUUCCUCAAAUCCAAAUACAUCUUCGUAGCACCGGGAUGGAUCGAGAAUUUCGAUCUAUGAGCCUCUUCCAUCAAAGUAAUACGCGUACCGCCCACGAACGGUACCCAAAUCCGACCCUGAAACGUCAGAAGCCCUCGUCCAUCCUUAACGAACUCUGAAAUUAACCCAACGACCCGCUCUUUCUUCUGCAUCUCUGGUCGCACAGCCUCGGCCUGUGCCCCACGAAUAGCAUCCAAUACUGGAGUCAUCACAGUCAGUCUCAAGCAUACAUCUCGCAAUGGAGUGCUCUCCGCCCUGCGGCUCAACGCAUCGGCUACCACAUUAGCCUUGCCUGGGUGGUACAGGAUCUCACAAUCAUAAUCCUUGACCACAUCCAACCACCUCCUCUGACGCAUAUUUAGGUUGGGCUGAUCCAUCAAAUACUUCAAGCUCUUAUGGUCCGUGUAUAUCGUACAUCGAACCCCAUACAAGUAGUGACGCCAAAUCUUGAGAGCGAACACUACUGCCCCCAACUCUAAAUCAUGCGUGGGAUAUCUCGCCUCAUGAGGCUUCAGCUGCCUCGACGCAUAAGCUAUCACAUGACCCCUCUGCAUCAACACUGCACCCAGUCCCGAAAUCGAUGCGUCGCAAUAUACUACAAAAUCUUCCAUCCCUUCCGGGAGAGCUAAUACCGGGGCUUCGCACAACCUCUGGCGAAGUGUCUCAAAGGAGGUCUGCUGCUCGGGCCCCCAUGAGAAUGCAACACCCUUCCGGGUCAAUCUGGUGAGCGGCACUGCGAUCUUGGAGAAAUCCUUAAUGAAUCUCCGAUAAUACCCUGCCAACCCAAGGAAGCUCCUGAUCUCAGAGGGUGACUUCGGCACCUCCCAACUCAUCACCGCCUCAACCUUGGCCGGAUCGACCAAUAUCCCUUUCUGAUUAACAACAUGUCCUAGAAAUUGGACCUCCCGCAACCAGAAGUCACAUUUGGAGAACUUUGCAUAAAGCUUCUCCGACCUCAAUACCUCAAGGACCUCCCUCAAAUGCUCCUCAUGCUGCUCUCUAGAUCUCGAAUACACCAGAAUGUCGUCGAUAAAUACAAUCACUGACCGAUCCAACAUCGGCCUGCAUACCCUGUUCAUGAGAUCCAUGAACACAGCCGGGGCAUUGGUGAGCCCGAAAGGCAUCACCACAAACUCAUAAUGCCCAUAUCGCGUCCUAAACGCUGUCUUCUGGACAUCCUCAUCCCGUACUCUCACCUGAUGGUACCCUGACCUCAGAUCGAUCUUGGAAAACCAAGACGCUCCCUGCAACUGAUCGAAUAAAUCAUCGAUCCUCGGUAACGGGUAACGGUUCUUGACCGUCAACUUGUUCAACUCCCGGUAAUCAAUGCACAUCCGGUGUGAACCAUCCUUCUUCUUGACGAACAGAAUAGGUGCUCCCCACGGCGAGCUGCUCGGCCGAAUGAAUCCCUUCCCCAGCAACUCCUGGAGCUGCGAGGACAACUCUUGCAUCUCUGGAGGUGCAAGACGAUAAGGCACCUUAGCAAUAGGCGCGGCCCCCGGAACCAGAUCGAUACCAAACUCUACUUGCCUCACAGGAGGUACUCCCGGCAGCUCCUCGGGGAAAACAUCUGGAAACUCACGCACCACAGGGACCUCCUCAACUGACUUCGGUCUCUCGGAAACCUCCCGCGUAUCCAUCACAUACGCCACAAAACCCUUACAGCCCUGCUGUAGACACUGCCUCGCCCUAGCGGCCGAACAAAAAGCUGAUCCCGAACGGGUACCCUCGCCGUACACCGAAAGAACUCCCCCACUAGGGUCUCGUAUAGUCACCAACUGACGCUCACAGUCGAUGACAGCGCCGAAUCGGCUCAACCAGUCCAUGCCCACGAUGACACAGACAUCACCCAUCGCAAUAGGAAUCAGGUCAAUCGGGAAUUCAACCCCGAAAAUCUCUAGUACACAUCCCCGAAGAACCUCCGUGGCACAAAUCACUUUCUCGUCAGCUAUAGAAACUCUCAAAGGUCGACUCAACGACUCACGACUAACGCUGAUAUGCUGACUAAAGGCUAAGGACACAAAGGACCUACUCGCACCCGAGUCAAAUAACACUAAGGCAGGCACAGAGUUCACAAGGAAAGUACCUACGCAUAUAAUAACAUAAGCAUAACAUCUCGACAUUAAAAUAAAUACAUGAAUUACAACAUACCUGCCACAACAUCGGGCGCAGCGCGGACCUCCUCCGCAGUCAGCUGAAAGGCUCUUCCCCGAGCCCUCGGGGCCUCGGCCUUCACCGGUCGAGUCGCAGUAGCUCCGGCAGCAGGUGCAGAUCCCUGAAGAAGCUGAGGGCACUCGGCCUUCCUAUGGCCUGUCUGGUUGCAAUGAAAGCAAACCGUAAAUCCCUUGGGACACUCCCUAGCAAUGUGCCCCUCCUUGCCACACUUGUAGCAAGCACCAGAUCGACAUACUCCAUCAUGACUCUUGCCGCACUUCCCGCAAGUGCGACCCUUCGAACCUCCUGUCCUCGAAUCAGCGGACUUGGUCCGCUUGGCUGCCGGCUGGGACUGAGCCGGUCGCCGGUCCACCCGCUGAGACUCGGCCUCCUCCCUGGCCUGGGUCUCCAACUCGAUCUCGCGCUUCCUGGCAUUCGCCUGAAGCUCAGCAAAAGUAUGGUAAGUGGAGUUUGACACAAACUCCCGGAUAUCCCUCCUCAACACUCCCAAGUACCGGCUCAUCCGAGCCUGAUCAGUGGACACCAGCUCGGGGCAGAACAUCGCCCUCUCAUGAAACUUCCGCGUGAUCACCGCAACAGAAUCAGUACCCUGCUUGAGGGUUAAGAACUCCUGAACCAAUCGUUCCCUCUCCACCGGGGGAACGUACUCGUCCCUGAACAUAGCAGUAAACCCCUCCCAUGUCACUGCUGUAGUCUCUGCCAAAGUGAAGUUCGCCGUCACGAACUUCCACCAGUCCUUCGCUCCCAGACGGAGCUGGUUCAAAGCGAACCGUACCCUCAGGUGCUCCGGGCAUGAACAAGUGUAGAAGCACCCCUCUAUAUCCGCGAUCCACCUCAUCGCAGCAAUCGGAUCCUGCGUCCCAUCGAACUCUGGUGGCUUCGUGUUGCUGAACUCUCGGAACAGCAACGAGUCACCCCCCUGUGGCCUAGCAGCGGCCACAGCUGCGGUAGCUGCAGCGGUUGCAGCCUCAGUCAAUGCGGCGUACCGCUCAUCAAACGUCUCCAUCAGGGUGGUCUUAAUAGACCCAAACAUCUCCGGGAUCUCAGCCCGGAUCGCCGCAGCUACCUCCUCGUGAAUCAUCUGACGAAUCUCCUCGUCACUCACACCGCUCGAACUCGCUCCGUGGCGUGGUCUAACCAUGAUGUCUCUGAAAUACAACAUAAAACUAUCAGAGACUCCAUCGAGUAUAAUCGCACUCGAUAACGCAACCCUACUCAGUCUCCGAUAUCCAGGGAUUCUUACUUGGGUCUCCCACUGACCCGGUGUCUUCGGUAGUACGGGCCCAAUACUACCGACCACACCGCAUCAGCAUUCAUCCCAAGUCUUCCUCCCCAAACCCCGGAUAGUGAGUACUCUACUUCUGUUAUGCACUAUCUACCCGCACACUAGCAAAGCAUCUCAUAUCGGCAAACUUCCCUAGACUAAGGCAUCACAAAUCAGGCCACUCUAGUCCUAUCAUGAAUACCUAGUCUUCUAGCAUGCAUAACAAUUUAUAUCAUAUAAUAUUGUAAGGUAUUUUGGGGAUCUUUACCGUUCGGGCGCUGACUGAUCGUACACACUGCUUCUUUCUUGCUUACCACAAAACCAUUUACAAAAGUUUAUGCCUUUAUUUAAAAAGUUUUCCUCAAAUCCUCGGUUUGAGUUCAGUUACUCCCGAAGGUGCACCCGAAUCCCUCAAACCAAGGCUCUGAUACCAAUUGUAACAACGCAAAUUUUCAAACAAAUUUUUCAUUUUAAAAAUAGAGUAUUUUCAUUCAAAACAAGGCAUAAAUAAUUUAAGUGUCAUGUCAAAUACAAACUGUCUAAAUCCCAAGAUCAUAAAAACAUUCUUCAGUGUGUAUCGAUCACGCCGGCGCCUUCCCACGGUCCUCGCUAGUACCUGAAACACAUACAUAACAACUGUAAGCAUAAAUGCUUAGUGAGUUCCCCAAUAUACAACUUACGCACAUACGCCUUUCCAGGCCCUGACCUUCCGGUCCUCAACACAACGCCUUCCGGCCCAUAACAUAAUCGCCUUCCGGCCCAUAACAUAUUGCCUUCCGGCCCACAUAACAUACAUAGCACAUAUAACAAAUAACUUACCACAUAUAGCAUACAUAUCACAUAUCAUAUCUGACCUUCCGGUCACACAGUCAAACCCUUCCGGGUACAGUAUAGUGAGAAGACUCACCUCGUGAAUGCUGAAAGCUAGCAAAUCCUGAAAUCACUCGUGCACAAUCCGACGAGCUACAACCUCCCUAUAACAUCACAUAUCUCUCAUUAACACUUAUAUCUUCUAAGUGUGACUAUCCCUAAGAAGUCAGACUUAGGUCAACUCUGGUCAACGGUCAACGGUCAACUCGACCGGACUCGGCGAGUGCCAUGGCGACUCGGCGAGUCUAGACGUCCUCCAACUCUCUGAGAUUCCCUUUCUACUCGUCGAGUAUCCUCCUUGACCCGACGAGUUACUCCUGGAAGAAUCGCGGGGCCACCCCGACUCAACUCGCCGAGUCUGAAGAACAACUCGACGAGUCCCAGUUAAUCUUCAAGCUACUCGCCGAGUCUGUUCAUCGAACUCGGCGAGUCCAUGCCAUGCAACCGCUCAAACUGCAUCCUAAGGUCAGAACUGCUUCGACCAUUCCUAGGUCUGGCCUUCCUAGGCUGAUCCAUCACGUAAAGUCCUCAUUUCAGUGCUCAUGAUACACCAUAUGAUUCAUAAUUUACAUUUUGACCUAAGGCAUAAGGAUUCCAAUCCAAAACCUUCAUCAAUUCCCGAAAUGCACAGACAUGGGACAUUCUGGACCUCCAAAGGUCCCAAUACAGGGUUACAAUCGAUUAGGGGACUAGGGUAACAUUCAAUCUAUUCACAAAAGGGUUCCAUAAACCCUAAUUCCAUAAUCACAUCAACAUAGCAGAGUAUACUCGAAUUCUUACCUGGAUGAUGUAUCCUCUGUGUCCCCAAUCCUCAGAAUGUGACUCCCUUGCUGCUCCUUUAGCCAAUCCCUUCUCUUCCUUGCACAACCACUCUUCUAUAAUCAACAAUGGCCUAUAAUCCUUGCUCCAGAUGCACACAAUCGAUUUAGGGUUCUUCUCAGAAGGCUAAAAUGAACAAUGACGGCCAAUAAGUCCCUUUUAUACGUCCCAAACCUGAACGGUUAGGGUUUUCGCUAAACAGCGUAGACUCGCCGAGUCCAUAUCUGGACUCGUCGAGUCCAGUCGCGAACCCGCGACCAAGUCUGCGAUCCUACUCGGCGAGUCUAGGCUCCAACUCGCCGAGUCCCCUCUUAAAUCACCCCAAAAACAUAAUUUAACAAUACCUGAGAUUCCGGGCUGUUACAACUCUCCCCCACUAGGAUUAGACUUCGCCCUCGAAGUCUCACUCUGAAAAUAGUUCCGGAUGCUGCUCCCGCAUCUCACGUUCCGGCUCCCAAGUCAUUUCCGAUCCCUUACGGUGUUGCCACUGAACCAACACCAGAGGUACCUCCUUGUUCCUCAGAACCUUGAUCUUCCGAUCCCUGAUGGCCACUGGUCUCUCAGCAUAAUUCAGGCUCGCAUCCACCUGAAUAUCCUCUAAUGGAACCACUGCCGACUCAUCGGCUAUGCACUUCCUCAAUUGCGACACAUGAAAGGUGUCGUGGAUCUGUCCCAACUCCGCUGGCAACUCCAACCGAUAGGCUACCCGGCCUAUCCUUGCACUCACACGAAAUGGCCCAAUAUACCAGGGACCCAACUUGCCCCUCUUCCUGAAUCGAAUCACUCCUUUCCAAGGAGAGACCUUCAGGAGAACGAAGUCGCCGACCUGAAAUUCAAGCUCGGAUCGGCGCCUGUCUGCAUAACUCUUCUGCCGGCUCUGGGCGGUCAAUAACCUUUGUCUCACUUGCUGAAUCUGCUCUGUCGUCUGGAGCACGAUCUCCGUGCUGCCCAUCACUCUCUGUCCCACCUCUCCCCAGCAAAUGGGGGUCCGACACCUCCUACCAUACAACAGCUCAAAAGGUGGCAUACCAAUGCUCGAAUGAUGGCUGUUGUUGUAGGAAAACUCUGCUAAGGGUAAAUAUGCAUCCCAGCUACCCCCGAAGUCUAACACACACGCUCGAAGCAUGUCCUCCAGUGUCUGAAUCGUCCGCUCGCUCUGACCGUCUGUCUGGGGAUGGUAUGCGGUAUUUUGUAUGCUAUUUAUAUGAUGUGAUACACUGCAUUAUUUCUAUGUGAUUUAUGCUAUAUAUGUUUCAGAGUUUACAGAGUUAGGACUGGAAGGUCCACAGAGUUAGGACUAGAGGGUCCAUAGAGUUAUGGGACUAGAGGGUCCCACUGAGACACAUUAACCAGAGGGUCAAACAGAGUUAUAGCCUCGAGUGGCUCAUAUGUGUUGUAUGUGGUAUCUUGGGGAACUCACUAAGCUCCGUGCUUACCGUGUUAUGUGUUAUGUGUUUCAGGUUUUCCUCUCGGAAUCGCGGGACGACACCGACUUCAUUGUACACUCCAGAGAAGGAGUUAUGAGGAUCCUGGAUUAUU